GCGGCAACAGCUCAAAUUUGAAAGCUGGCUCCUUCGGAGUCCGCGUUGUAAUUUGUAGAGGAUGAUUCGGCGAGGGCUCCCGCCUAAGUCCCCUGGAACGGGGCGUCAUAGAGGGUGAGAAUCCCGUAUGCGGUGGGUUGCCUUAGCCAUGUGAAUCUCCUUCGACGAGUCGAGUUGUUUGGGAAUGCAGCUCUAAAUGGGAGGUAAAUUUCUUCUAAAGCUAAAUACCGGCCAGAGACCGAUAGCGCACAAGUAGAGUGAUCGAAAGAUGAAAAGCACUUUGGAAAGAGAGUUAAAAAGUACGUGAAAUUGUUGAAAGGGAAGCGCUUGCAGCCAGACUUGUCCGCAGUUGCUCAACCGGUCUCCUGACCGGUGUACUCUUCUGCGGCCAGGCCAGCAUCAGUUCGGGCGGUCGGAUAAAGGCCCUGGGAAUGUAGCUCCUCUCGGGGAGUGUUAUAGCCCAGGGUGGAAUGCGGCCAGCCUGGACUGAGGAUCUCGCUUCGGCUAGGAUGCUGGCGUAAUGGCUGUAAGCGGCCCGUCUUGAAACACGGACCAAGGAGUCUAACAUCUAUGCGAGUGUUUGGGUGUCAAACCCAUGCGCGUAAUGAAAGUGAACGGAGGUGGGAACCCUCACGGGUGCACCAUCGACCGAUCCUGAUGUCUUCGGAUGGAUUUGAGUAAGAGCAUAGCUGUUGGGACCCGAAAGAUGGUGAACUAUGCCUGAAUAGGGUGAAGCCAGAGGAAACUCUGGUGGAGGCUCGCAGCGGUUCUGACGUGCAAAUCGAUCGUCAAAUUUGGGUAUAGGGGCGAAAGACUAAUCGA
This 822-nucleotide ribosomal RNA is filed under the name Macrophomina phaseolina. Its description in RNAcentral is "eukaryotic LSU rRNA". It matches the Rfam family "Eukaryotic large subunit ribosomal RNA", at positions 98 to 938 of the family's 3401-position model. Lineage: Eukaryota; Fungi; Ascomycota; Dothideomycetes; Botryosphaeriales; Botryosphaeriaceae. The record is from RNAcentral.